Molecule: ribosomal RNA, 171 nt
Filed under: Actinomycetota bacterium
Lineage: Bacteria; Bacillati; Actinomycetota
Description: partial 23S ribosomal RNA
Rfam family: Bacterial large subunit ribosomal RNA
Source: RNAcentral
GGAAGGGAUAACCGCUGAAAGCAUCUAAGCGGGAAGCUCGCCUCGAGAUAAGAUCUCCCAUCCCCUUAGAGGGAGUAAGACUCCUGGUAGACCACCAGGUUGAUAGGCCACAGGUGUAAGUGCAGCGAUGUAUGUAGCCGAGUGGUACUAAUAAGUCGAGGGCUUGAUGUA